UUAGCAGCAGAACAGAACAGAGAGAAGACUCUGGAUCAGGAACACUGACUGGACCUGAACCACUGGGAACUGACUGGUUCUGGUUCCUCUCUCAGGCUGACUGAAGUCCAGGAGAUGGAGAACAGAGCAGAACCUCCAGGAUCCAUCAGUCCAUCUAUGAGGAGUGACUGGUCCAAAG
Molecule: long non-coding RNA, 178 nt
Organism: Fundulus heteroclitus (mummichog)
Lineage: Eukaryota; Metazoa; Chordata; Actinopteri; Cyprinodontiformes; Fundulidae
Exons: 2
Source: RefSeq, a predicted model, not a curated record